AGGGAAAGGCUACUCUAACUUGGUUUUCUGGUGCCGAGCUCACGUUCUUUCCUUGUUCUGUGUCAGUUUCCAGCUUCCCUUGUGGUUUCCCCUGGUGCUGGCAGAGUGUGGCGAGUUGUGCUUCCUGCUGGGAGAGAGAAGGACCUUGGAAAGCUGCUCUGCGACCACAGCUGUGCCGAGCCUGGGAGUUUGUACCGCAGGAUGUCGAGUGCCACCGUGUCCCCGAGGUCACUGUUUCUCCUGUUGGGAGAGCACGGGGUGGAUGGAAAGGAUCCCCAGGCAUGUGCAGGCACAAGGAGCUUGUCCCACUGCGAUUUUCCUACAGCCCUCAAAGGAUGGGCUUUCAGGUACCCUGGGUAAUGUGCCAGCUCUCCUGCUGGAGCUGUUCCAUGGAAUAUUUGAACACAAAGAGUAAAGCUGAAGUCAGGUCUGUUCUGGAGUGUGUUACACUUGUGCAAAGCUCCUUCCCCCUGUUUAUUUUCUGUCCUGGAAAGCAGAGGCUGGGGUUCCUGGGCACUUCCUAUUAAAUGAUACCAUGAAACUAAUUUUGUGCUGGAAGGGGAAAGGAGCUGUCUGUGGGAGGUCAUGUGGCCAUGACAAAAGUUUUCUGUGUUUUCAGUCAGUAAGAUCUUAAAAUAUCUUAGUGUGUAGGAAUGCCUGGUUUGUAAAAGUGCCCAGCUGAGUGUGAGAGGCUUCUUUGCCGAGCUGCUUUCAGGCAGCCAAAUGGGCCCCAGCAGGGACUCUGUGCCUGCUGUCCCGUGGUUCCCAGGGAUCUCUGGGCCUUCACGCCGGCACCGAGGUGUUCUCGGGAAGGCCCUCAGAUCCCCGGAGCAGUGUGGGACACGGGCACGAUGCCCCUGCCUUUUGGGAGCAGAUUGGGCCCCGGGAGGGACAGUGCUGUUGGUGCCCCCCGGGCUGGGGCACCCCGAGGACUCGAGCGCGCACCCAAAGGAUUCUUCGGGGAGCUCCUCUGGGUGCCCCAAGCUGGGGAGCUCCAAGCAAGGUCCCUGCAAGGGAUUGAGGCAUUCCUGAGAGGAUCAGAGGUGUAGCUGUCCGUCCUGGCCAUGGAGCUCUGGAAUGGGCUGUAAUUGGGUUCUAAAAGUGGUGCUCGGACUGCAAAAGAAGUGUGGGAUUGGGAUUAUGGAAUGAGUGGUGAUGGUACCAUUGGGUGUUUUGUCUUGAGUGGAAUUGUGAGAGCUGCAGGAGUGCAAGGUGUGGGUUCCAGUCCCCAGCAUUUGGUUGGCACAUGUCCUGGUCAGCCCUUAACACAGCAGAGGGAGAAUUAAGGGCUGGCUUAAUUAACCAAUUAGUUAACCAAUUACUGUUAAAGUGAUGGGCAUGACAGGGGUUUAAUUGGGAAAACAAUGAGUAACUCCUCAGUUUGUUUAUUUGCAAGCUCCCCUAAACCUUUUCUAGGAAGAGAUUGGCUGGUAAAGUUGAGGCAGGUAUUAAAUUGAACAAUGGAGAGAUGAUUGAAAUUGUAAUUGCUGAAACUAACUGUGUGAGAGCAGCAGCUCUUCUCGUGCAGGAAAUAACUCCUGUCAGCAGCACCGUCCCGACUGGAGUGGCAGAAGAUGGAGUUGUUCCUGUGGUGUGGGCCAGUGGAAUUCCAGGAGAAUGGACAAGGACAGAACCUGUAGGUUUUAACCCUAAACUGGGAUCUGUAUGGGUAAGACAGCCCCAGUAUCCUUUAAAAUCAGCAUGCCAGUAUUAGAUUUCAAGAUGCCUUUUGCUGCAUCUCCAGGAGCAAGGCAAGCCAAGAAACCUUUGCUUUUGAAGGAGAAAAUCCAGAAGUGGGGAAUGAAGGAAAGAAGCCACCUGAGUCCUCCCUGAGCCACAGCCAGUGCAUGAAGUGCCUUCCUGGGAAUGGUCGGAUGGUGAGGACUCUGCAUUGCUUCCUCUGGAUGUGUGGUAAGGCUGAUGCAAACUUUGGAAACCCCCUGUAAGAGUUUGCUGCCUUGGAUAGAUGGUGCAAGGGCAGCCUUUAGGCAGCUCAGGCAUUCCCUGAGGAGAGCUCUGGCUCUGCCACAUCUCUCUGAACUGUUUGAAGCCCCUUGGUUUGGGAGGGAGAACGAAGGACCAAGUGUGCAGAGAGCCCCCCUGACAAGGGACUUGGAGUGACUGGCAUCCCUCCCAGUUAACUUUCUGGGCUGUUCCCCCUGUAGAGCAGGUGAUAGUCCCAGCUCCAGCUGUGGGGAAAAAAGAGAGCCCCAAAAGCUGGCAAUCCUCCUGGAGGCUCCUGGCAAACAGGGUUUGCUGAGUUAGCCCUGGCAGGAGGACAGUGAUAGCUUUUCAGUGCUAGUAGAGCCUUUGAAUAGAUGGCCAUAAGUCUGUCCUUGUUGCACCAGGAGGCCUUAUCAAGCUCCCCAUAUUGCAGGGAAUAUUGACAUGAAAGGCAAAACUGGUCUUGCUAAUUGUUUGCUGGCUUUAGGAUGUGGCCUGCAGGAACUGCAGGAAUUGACGGUGACGCCUCGGCCGAUGGAUUGGACGCCCCCAGCCCGUGCGUUCCUGCCCAGCCCUUGGGUCCCUGUCAAGUGGUGGGACUGCCAGCCCCUGCAGGGGGCUGUGGCAUGGAAACUGCAGAGAGCCGAGCCAGGGGAUUGAAAGGGACUCAGCCAGGGAGGUGAAGGAAGAAGGAAGAAGGGAAGUGAGGCAGCAGCCAAGCAGCACCAAGUUCCUCUGUCAGCAGGUGAGUUGUCUUGAGGUUCCUCAGGCAGGCUCUUGGGACUUUGGGGACUCCAGACAGAGAAGACCGUGGAAGCCCCUUGGAGAAGCCUCUCAGAAACCUUACAAGGUAGGUGUGGAUGGUAAUAAGUGUUGGAGAAUGCCCUGGAUAUAGAACUGGAAUGCCGGGAAUGAAAAAGGGCAUCAGUACAUGAGGGUUCAAUCAGCUGCAGUGGAGACCCCUCUGUGUGCACUGUGGGAGCUGAUGGCCAGGACAGGCGCUGGGCUGGGAUGAUUGCAGGGUGUUGUCAGCAAGGAAUGCCUGGCUUGUAAAAGUGCCCAGCUGAGUGUGAGAGGCUUCUUUGCCGAGCUGCUUUCAGGCAGCCAAAUGGGCCCCAGCAGGGACUCUGUGCCUGCUGUCCCGUGGUUCCCAGGGAUCUCUGGGCCUUCACGCCGGCACCGAGGUGUUCUCGGGAAGGCCCUCAGAUCCCCGGAGCAGUGUGGGACACGGGCACGAUGCCCCUGCCUUUUGGGAGCAGAUUGGGCCCCUGGAGGGACAGUGCUGUUGGUGCCCCCCGGGCUGGGGCACCCCGAGGACUCGAGCGCGCACCCAAAGGAUUCUUCGGGGAGCUCCUCUGGGUGCCCCAAGCUGGGGAGCUCCAAGCAAGGUCCCUGCAAUGGAUUGAGGCAUUCCUGAGAGGAUCAGAGGUGUAGCUGUCUGUCCUGGCCAUGGAGCUCUGGAAUGGGCUGUAAUUGGGUUCUAAAAGUGGUGCUCGGAGUGCAAAAGAAGUGUGGGAUUGGGAUUAAGGAAUGAGUGGUGAUGGUACCAUUGGGUGUUUUGUCUUGAGUGGAAUUGUGAGAGCUGCAGGAGUGCAAGGUGUGGGUUCCAGUCCCCAGCAUUUGGUUUGCACAUGUGCUGGUCAGACACAGGUCCAGCUUCCUCAGCCCUUAACACAACAGAGGCAGAAUUAAGGGAUGGCACUGUGAAGGUGAUUGGUGUGACAGGGGUUAAAGUGGGAAAACCUUGGGGAAUUCCUUAGUUUGUCUGUUUGCCAAAAUUACCCAAGCCACUGCCAGAAGAGAUUGGUUGGAACAGUUCAGGCAGAAAUGAAAUUGGACAAUGGGGAGAUUGAAAUUGUAAUUGCUGAAACUAACUGUGUGAGAGCAGCAGCUCUUCUCGUGCAGGAAAUAACUCCUGUCAGCAGCACCGUCCUGACUGAAGUGGCAGAUGGAGUUGUUCCUGUGGUGUGGGCCAGUGGAAUUCCAGGAGAAUGGACCAGGACAGACCCUGUAGGUAUUAGCCCUAAGCUGGGAUCUGUAUGGGUAAGACAACCCCAGUAUCCUUUAAAAUCAGAAUGCCAGUAGUAGAUUUCAAGAUGCCUUUUACUGCAUUUCCAGGAGGAAGGUAAGGCAAGAAACCUUUGCUUUUGAAGGAGAAAAUGCAGAAAUGAGGAAAGAAGAAAAGAAGCCACCUGAGUCCUCCCUAAGCCACCUGAGUCGUCCCUGAGCCACAGGCAGUGCAUGAAGUGCCUUCCUGGGAAUGGGAGGAUGGUGAGGACUCUGCAUUGCUCCCUCUGGAUGUGUGGUAAGACUGAUGCAAACUUUGGAAACCCCCUGUAAGAGUUUGCUGCCUUGGAUAGAUGGUGCAAGGGCAGCCUUUAGGCAGCUCAGGCAUUCCCUGAGGAGAGCUCUGGCUCUGCCACUUCUCGUGGGUGGUUGCCCCUUGCCCUGCAGUGGGGCACGCACAGACUGUUGCCAUGAGGUGAUGAACGGGCGCUGUUUGGCUGCCACUCCAGCAUCACCUUAUACUACGUCCUGGCCCUACGUAGUGUAAUGUGGAGCUGAUCCAUGGGGUGUCAGGACUGCUGGCUGGAGCGAUGCUCAUCCUUCCAUCGACACUGUGUUGCUGGCGGGGACGCCCGCUAAGCAUGAGUGCCGCCCAGCCCUGCAGAGCCUGGGAGCCCUGGCCUGUCUGUGCAGGGGAGCACAGUUUAGUGAGAGGAAGAACCCAGAAAGCAAACACUUCACAUCCUUUUCCUUGGAUCCCUUUAAUUCCCUUUGUACUAGCUAAUAUUGGAUCCCUUUAAUUCCCUUUGUACUAGCUAAUAUUGGAUCCCUUUAAUUCCCUUUGUACUAGCUAAUAUUGGAUCCCUUUAAUUCCUUGACACUAAUACUUUAAUAGAGGCUGUUUGUAGGAUUGUAUGAACACCAAUAGAUAAAGUAGUUUUUUUGUAUUCUUUUUAACUUUUGAUUCUCCUUGCUAAUAGUUUUGUUUUUAACUCUCACUUCAAUAAAGGAUAUUUUGUAGUGUUUGAAUGACUGUUGUGCUUGUCUUUAUUCUGGACAUGGAUCCUUGCCAGCCUGGUCCAAGCAGGGAGAACUGCAGCUGCCAGCAGCUGGGUCAGUGCUGGCUGCACUCGGGGCUGGGAAAGGUCCCUCAGUGUGAGGGCAGGGGAGAGCCCAGGGUGGCCCUGGCAGCCCUGGGGCUGGGAACAAGUCCAGUGGGCAAAGGAAUGGACCCUGGAGAGCUGGGCAAAGAGCUGGAGGAGUUGGAAGGAGAAGCAGGAAACUGGACAAGCUGCAGCAGCUCCUUCUGUGUGUGUGGAGAAGCAGCUCUAGUGCAGCCACGAGUGAGGUGGGAAAUGAACCUCAGGAGGCUGGGAAUGAGUCCCACAAACUGGUUACAAGGGAACAACACAUGGA
Molecule: long non-coding RNA, 5367 nt
Organism: Myiozetetes cayanensis
Lineage: Eukaryota; Metazoa; Chordata; Aves; Passeriformes; Tyrannidae
Exons: 4
Source: RefSeq, a predicted model, not a curated record